Molecule: long non-coding RNA, 741 nt
Organism: Camelina sativa (false flax)
Lineage: Eukaryota; Viridiplantae; Streptophyta; Magnoliopsida; Brassicales; Brassicaceae
Source: RefSeq, a predicted model, not a curated record
AUAUAUCAUCUGUAUAAAUAAUUAGUGUUAGAGAGAUAAAAAAGAGUUUCUCUCUCUUCUCUCUCUCAAUUUUUCAGAGAGAGAAACUCGACAUCGGACUUUUUCUCCGAUGGUAUCCGUCCAACACCAGAUCCGGUGUUUGGAUCGGUCUUCGCUUCCGUCAUCGACCGUUCUCGUUUGACGGUGAUGGACGGCUUUGCUUCCGGCAUGAGUUGGCCUCCUCGGCGAUUCAUGUCCGGCUUUGACUCCGGUGUGCGUUGGCCUCUUUGGCGACGUCAUAUCCGGCUUUUGACUCCGGUGUGCGGUGGCCUCUUUGGCGGUGUCAUAUCCGGUUUAGAUCCGGCAUGCGUUGGUCUUCAUGGCAGCGGAUGUUCGGUUUAGAUCGAGCUUCCUCCGUUGUUCGCCGGUGUUUUUCGGCCGGAUUAGACGUUUUCCGGCGAUACUUUCCGAUGUCGGUGACCGGAGACCUGUCGACUUCAGACUCUUCGACUUCGCACGUGUCCUCUUCAACGCUUCCUUGGUGCCACGUGUCUAGUGAUUCUCAGAAUUAAUCUUUAAUGAGGGGUUUCUACCUUGGGCUUGGACCUUUUUAUUUGGUUUAUGUAUUUCGAUUUCUGUAUUUGGCUUUUUGUUGGGCUUCUAUAGUUUAUAAUAUUAGCUUGGCCUUUGGCUUUAUAUUAUAAAUAAAGACAAUAGUGAAAAAAAAAAAAUAAAAUAAUUAGUGUCAUUGGUUUCGAAUCA